GUCAUUUAUUUCUUCCCCGUGUUUAUUUUUCCAGUCUCCCUGAAUUGCCAUCAUGUCAUGAAAAAUACUUUGUUUUAAACUUAAUGGAAUGGAUUGUCAUUUUGGUGGAUUUUUGCCAGUGAAGAAUUUAUCAGACUCAAUAGCCUCCAUCACUUGGCAGGACAGAAAGGCCUCGAAAGCCUCUUUCAGUAUCUCUGAGCAUACCUAACAUUUAGAAAGGUAGGCCUGUGUAGCAAGUGUGAAAGUGUUCCUCUCCAUGCCCUUACGGCUUUACUCAACCAUGUUUCCUCUUUUAUCAUUUAUUGGAAAAACCUUUUACUAUCUCUUCUUACUUCCUUUCCUUUGUUAGCUACAAAGGGAAGAUUUUCUUUUGCAAAUCCUUAGUAAUUAAAUGAGCACUUCAGUGGCUGUAGCCCUCAAUGGCCUGUUUCCUAGGUUUUGCCUUUGACAGUCAUAUUUUGCAAAGGCCCCUGAGAUGACUCUGCAUCUUCCCCUACUCAACGCUAAACCAACUGAAGCCCGUGCUCACUGCAUGAAGGAGGAAAAGAUUCAUUAAGGGCACUUCAUUAAGAGGCUGAAAUGGGAAGCUCUAAAUGCGCCUGAACCAACUACAAUCCAGAGAAGCUGUCUAUUAGGAGUGCCACAAAGACAGUUUCGGAAGCUAAACUCCAGCUCCAGUGCAUCGGAUUAGGAAGAGUGAUGGGAUUAGUGUUUAAUGACUUGGGGCAGGAGACAAAGGGAAUUUCGACAAAGAGGCUUAGAUAUGGAAGAAUUAACACUCUGUAUUCCAACCAGGCCUCUGAUGACUUCCAGCAUUCUUUUCAGACUCAAAAGCCAAGGGAAGGGAAUAAAAAAAAAAAAAAGAUGUGCAAAGCUUUAAUACUUUUCUAACUUUUUUUAUUGCAACAACAAUACAGAGGAAAUAAAAGAACCCUAUUCACUCCUUUGGACUUGAAACCUCUUUUAAAAAUAAGCAUCUACAAUUGUAUAAUUAGCCCCAAGGUGAGCUUGCCCAGGGCCUCAAACAUGUGCCAGAAUGCUUCUCUGCUUCCUAAUGCUAGGGCAAGUCACAAACUGAUGUGGACACUAAAGCAAAACCUAUGGUAGCAGAGGCCCAGCUAAGUGGCUGUACAAGAUUUUUUUCUCUCCAUGGCUGUUUAUGUUACAGGUGCAACUGAAGGAACAGAGAAACUGUGUAAUUGUAAAACCUCCUUGUGGCCCCACAUGGCUCAUACUCAAAUGAUUCCAGUGUCUAUGGCCUGAGAAGUGCUUCAUGAAAUGAGGAACAGUGCCUCAAGUCAGAGAUUGGCAUGGUGAGUCGCCGGGAGGUGGAAAAGAGGCACAGCUUCAUUGAAGCUACAGUUGGCUGCAAGGAACCAUUUCAAAUCAUCUUAGUUCUACGGGGCCAUUCAGGUGGCAAAGGCCCAGAGAAUAUCUUAUAUCUUUACUAUAUCUCAAACAGUGAAGAAAUGGCAGCAAGACUGCUACCUCUUCUCCACGUCACUUCUGUUAAAAUUACCUGAUUGUCGGUGGUACUAAAAGAUCAAGACUAGAGAGGAGGUGGUUCCAAGAUGGCCAAAUAGGAACAGCUCCAGUCUACAGUUCCCAGCGUGAGUGAUGCAGAAGAUGGGUGAUUUCUGCAUUUCCAACUGAGGUACUGGGUUCAUCUCACUGGGACUCGUCGGACAGUGGGUGCAAGACAGUGGGUGCAGCCCACCAAGCGUGAGCUGAAGCAGGGCAAGGCAUCGCCUCACCUGGGAAGUGCUAGCAAUUAGGAAAUUCCCUUUCCUAGCCAAGGGAAGCUGUGACAGACGGCACCUGGAAAAUCAGGUCACUCCCACCCUAAUACUGCGCUUUUCCAAUGGUCUUAGCAAACAGCACACCAGGAGAUUAUAUCCCGUGCAUGGCUCGGAAGGUCCCACGCCCAUGGAGCCUCGCUUAUUGCUAGCACAGCAGUCUGAGAUGGAACUGCAAGGCGGCAGCGAAGCUGAGGGAGGAGCGCCUGCCAUUGCUGAGGCUUGAGUAGGUAAACAAAGCAGCCAGGAAGCUCGAACUAGGUGGAGCCCACCGCAGCUCAAGGAGGCCUGCCUGCCU
Molecule: long non-coding RNA, 2094 nt
Filed under: Homo sapiens (human)
Lineage: Eukaryota; Metazoa; Chordata; Mammalia; Primates; Hominidae
Description: HSALNT0032998
Source: RNAcentral